AUUGAACGCUGGCGGAAUGCUUUACACAUGCAAGUCGAACAGCAGCACGGACUUCGGUCUGGUGGCGAGUGGCGAACGGGUGAGUAAUGUAUCGGAACGUGCCCAGUCGUGGGGGAUAACGUAGUGAAAAUUACGCUAAUACCGCAUACGAUCUAUGGAUGAAAGCGGGGGAUCGCAAGACCUCGCGCGAUUGGAGCGGCCGAUAUCAGAUUAGGUAGUUGGUGGGGUAAAGGCCCACCAAGCCAACGAUCUGUAGCUGGUCUGAGAGGACGACCAGCCACACUGGAACUGAGACAUGGUCCAGACUCCUACGGGAGGCAGCAGUGGGGAAUUUUGGACAAUGGGCGAAAGCCUGAUCCAGCCAUUCCGCGUGCAGGAUGAAGGCCCUCGGGUUGUAAACUGCUUUUGUACAGAACGAAAAGGUUUCUACUAAUACUAGGAGCUCAUGACGGUACUGUAAGAAUAAGCACCGGCUAACUACGUGCCAGCCGCCGCGGUAA
RNAcentral lists this ribosomal RNA (500 nucleotides) under uncultured bacterium. Its description in RNAcentral is "partial 16S ribosomal RNA". It matches the Rfam family "Bacterial small subunit ribosomal RNA", at positions 30 to 523 of the family's 1533-position model. The record is from RNAcentral.